GACGAACGCUGGCGGCGUGCUUAACACAUGCAAGUCGAACGAAGAGCGAUGGAAGCUUGCUUCUAUCAAUCUUAGUGGCGAACGGGUGAGUAACGCGUAAUCAACCUGCCCUUCAGAGGGGGACAACAGUUGGAAACGACUGCUAAUACCGCAUACGAUCUAAUCUCGGCAUCGAGGAUAGAUGAAGGGUGGCCUCUACAUGUAAGCUAUCACUGAAGGAGGGGAUUGCGUCUGAUUAGCUAGUUGGAGGGGUAACGGCCCACCAAGGCGAUGAUCAGUAGCCGGUCUGAGAGGAUGAACGGCCACAUUGGGACUGAGACACGGCCCAGACUCCUACGGGAGGCAGCAGUGGGGAAUCUUCCGCAAUGGACGAAAGUCUGACGGAGCAACGCCGCGUGAGUGAUGACGGCCUUCGUGUUGUAAAGCUCUGUUAAUCGGGACGAAAGGCCUUCUUGCGAACAGUUAGAAGGAUUGACGGUACCGGAAUAGAAAGCCACGGCUAACUACGUG
This 510-nucleotide ribosomal RNA is filed under the name uncultured bacterium. RNAcentral describes it as "partial 16S ribosomal RNA". It matches the Rfam family "Bacterial small subunit ribosomal RNA", at positions 28 to 507 of the family's 1533-position model. The record is from RNAcentral.